GAUGAAGAACGCAGCGAAAUGCGAUAAGUAGUGUGAAUUGCAGAAUUCAGUGAAUCAUCGAAUCUUUGAACGCACAUUGCGCCCCUUGGUAUCCCGAGGGGCAUGCCUGUUCGAGCGUCAUUUCACCACUCAAGCCUGGCUUGGUGUUGGGCGACGUCCUCUUUGGGGACGCGCCUCGAAACGCUCGGCGGCGUGGCACCGGCUUUAAGCGUAGCAGAAUCUUUCGCUUUGGAAGUCGGGGCCCAGUCUGCCGGAAGACCUGCUCGCAAGGUUGACCUCGGAUCAGGCAGGGAUACCCGCUGAACUUAAGCAUAUCAAUAAGCGGAGGA
RNAcentral lists this unclassified non-coding RNA (329 nucleotides) under soil metagenome. RNAcentral describes it as "partial contains 5.8S ribosomal RNA, internal transcribed spacer 2, and large subunit ribosomal RNA". The stretch from base 1 to 120 matches the Rfam family "5.8S ribosomal RNA", at positions 35 to 154 of the family's 154-position model. The record is from RNAcentral.